UACGUAGGGGGCUAGCGUUGUCCGGAAUCAUUGGGCGUAAAGCGCGUGUAGGCGGCCCGAUAAGUCCGCUGUGAAAGUCCAGGGCUCAACCCUGGGAUGCCGGUGGAUACUGUCGGGCUCGAGUCCGGAAGAGGAGUGUGGAAUUCCUGGUGUAGCGGUGAAAUGCGCAGAUAUCAGGAGGAACACCAAUAGCGAAGGCAGCUCGCUGGGACGUUACUGACACUGAGGCGCGAAAGCGUGGGGAGCGAACAGG
RNAcentral lists this ribosomal RNA (253 nucleotides) under uncultured bacterium. RNAcentral's name for it is "partial 16S ribosomal RNA". It matches the Rfam family "Bacterial small subunit ribosomal RNA", at positions 524 to 776 of the family's 1533-position model. The record is from RNAcentral.